GAUGAACGCUGGCGGCGUGCCUAAUACAUGCAAGUCGAACGAUGAACCGGGUGCUUGCACUCGGGGAUUAGUGGCGAACGGGUGAGUAACACGUGAGCAACCUGCCCCUGACUCUGGGAUAAGCGCUGGAAACGGCGUCUAAUACUGGAUAUGUCCCGUCACCGCAUGGUGUGCGGGUGGAAAGAUUUUUCGGUUGGGGAUGGGCUCGCGGCCUAUCAGCUUGUUGGUGAGGUAAUGGCUCACCAAGGCGUCGACGGGUAGCCGGCCUGAGAGGGUGACCGGCCACACUGGGACUGAGACACGGCCCAGACUCCUACGGGAGGCAGCAACCGGGAAUAUUGCGCAAUGGACGAAAGUCUGACGCAGCGACACCGCGUGGAGGAUGAAGGCCUUCGGGUUGUAAACUCCUUUUGCCAAGAAAUACUAAAGAAGGUACUUGGAGAAUAAGCACCUGCAAACUACGUGCCAGCAGCCGCAGUAA
This 481-nucleotide ribosomal RNA is filed under the name uncultured bacterium. Its description in RNAcentral is "partial 16S ribosomal RNA". It matches the Rfam family "Bacterial small subunit ribosomal RNA", at positions 28 to 523 of the family's 1533-position model. The record is from RNAcentral.